GUUAAUAUAGUUUUAAUACAAACAUUAGAUUGUGGAUCUAAAAAUAGGAGUUAAAACCCCCUUAUAAACC
Molecule: transfer RNA, 70 nt
Filed under: Rheodytes leukops
Lineage: Eukaryota; Metazoa; Chordata; Testudines; Chelidae
Description: tRNA-His
Rfam family: tRNA
About the family: Transfer RNA (tRNA) molecules are approximately 80 nucleotides in length. Their secondary structure includes four short double-helical elements and three loops (D, anti-codon, and T loops).
Source: RNAcentral